CUCAUGUUUUACCGAUUCCUUUUUUUCUUUAGCUGUUUGAUUUGUCAAAAAUCAAGAUAUAAGGACAUUGAUUUGGUUCUUUGAAAUUGAUGUUUAAUUAACAUUUUUGUUUGUUAUAUUUGUGGUAAGAUUUUAAUGGGUGAUCAGGGAUGUUUAAUUGUGAUGUUUGGUCUGAUCAUUUUUAUGAAGGCGGAGGGAGAGUUCACUCGAACAUUAUGGCUUGGGUAAGUAUUGUUCUAUAUUCUUCUUAGGAAGCAAUCUUAAGGAUAUAAAAUGAAGGAGAUGACACGAAGUGGGAUCUUUGUUGGUAAUGGUGAAAAUGGUGCACUAGAAGCUGAUAGGCCUAUACCACUAACAUGGUUUGUCGUCAACCAAAAAAUGUGUAAAUGGGUCGUUAAUCACUUAUAUAGAUCAUUUUAUUUAGUUAAUAAUUCUAAAUUUGAUUGUAUUUUUCAUUUUUAUGUAUUAUCUUCAUGGUGUUGCUCAAUCCACGAAGCAUACGGAUGAAAAUUGAAGUACAAAACAGAUUGAGAGAUUGGAUCAUGAAACUUUGGGUGGGUGUUGCUGGAUCGAUCAAAGGCAUACUCUGUGAGAACUGAGGAGUUAUUGUUUGCAGGUUGGGGCAUAAGAAGAAGCAGCAUUUGGGUUGAAAAUUAAUGUUAACUC
Papaver somniferum (opium poppy) is the source of this 666-nucleotide long non-coding RNA. RefSeq lists it as uncharacterized. The record is from RefSeq and is a predicted model, not a curated record. The transcript has 3 exons. NCBI's taxonomy places the organism in Eukaryota, Viridiplantae, Streptophyta, Magnoliopsida, Ranunculales, Papaveraceae.